UGUAGGAAGCCGGUUCCUGCAUUAUAAUGCUGCCUGAAGACACCAAGAAGGAUCCGAGUGUCCUGCGUGUAUUUCUUGCUGGCGAGGAAUACAGAGAGCGCGCGGGACAUAUGGUGCUGAAACCCGGGAAGCUUAACAUCUCCAACACCUCAGAGACCCCUCUAACGAGGCGGAUUCAGAACUGCAGGGUGGUAAAUUCGGAGAGGUAUGA
Molecule: non-coding RNA, 211 nt
Organism: Cricetulus griseus (Chinese hamster)
Lineage: Eukaryota; Metazoa; Chordata; Mammalia; Rodentia; Cricetidae
Source: RefSeq, a predicted model, not a curated record